RNAcentral lists this ribosomal RNA (496 nucleotides) under uncultured Streptococcus sp. Its description in RNAcentral is "bacterial SSU rRNA". It matches the Rfam family "Bacterial small subunit ribosomal RNA", at positions 28 to 508 of the family's 1533-position model. The record is from RNAcentral. Lineage: Bacteria; Bacillati; Bacillota; Bacilli; Lactobacillales; Streptococcaceae.
GACGAACGCUGGCGGCGUGCCUAAUACAUGCAAGUAGAACGCUGAAGGAGGAGCUUGCUUCUCUGGAUGAGUUGCGAACGGGUGAGUAACGCCCAGGUAACCUGCCUGGUAGCGGGGGAUAACUAUUGGAAACGAUAGCUAAUACCGCAUAAGAGUAGAUGUUGCAUGACAUUUACUUAAAAGGUGCAAUUGCAUCACUACCAGAUGGACCUGCGUUGUAUUAGCUAGUUGGUGGGGUAACGGCUCACCAAGGCGACGAUACUUAGCCGACCUGAGAGGGUGAUCGGCCACACUGGGACUGAGACACGGCCCAGACUCCUACGGGAGGCAGCAGUAGGGAAUCUUCGGCAAUGGACGGAAGUCUGACCGAGCAACGCCGCGUGAGUGAAGAAGGUUUUCGGAUCGUAAAGCUCUGUUGUAAGAGAAGAACGAGUGUGAGAGUGGAAAGUUCACACUGUGACGGUAUCUUACCAGAAAGGGACGGCUAACUACGUGC